This is a long non-coding RNA of Camelus dromedarius (Arabian camel), 633 nucleotides long. RefSeq lists it as uncharacterized. The transcript has 3 exons. The record is from RefSeq and is a predicted model, not a curated record. Lineage: Eukaryota; Metazoa; Chordata; Mammalia; Artiodactyla; Camelidae.
UCGGCGCUGCCGUUGUGGGCGGCCCCCUCACCCCCACCCCAGGCUCUUGUCUGUAGCAGAUCCUGCUUUUGAUUUGGGCGUGAGGAAUUCGCCCAGGCCUGGGUGGAGCCGGGAGGCUGCCAUGGAGAGCAGCUGCAGAGAAAGUCAGCCCUGGACCUCCUCCAGCUAUGACAGGAAUGUGACCCUGCGCCUCGUUCAGCUGGGACGGGCGAAACAGCCAUUUUUAGCCGCCGAGUGGUCCCAGUCCAGCCUCUGCCAAGCUGAUGGGCCGGGCGCCUUUGGAAUCUGCCUAAUCCGAAUUGCACUGCGUGGGGAGGCAGGGGCUGUGGCACUGGUCCAGCUCCAGAGCACAGACGGGCAGCUUGCCGGCCUUUUGAGAAAGAGAUAAAUAGUUGCGGAACAAAGAAUAAUAUUUAUCUUGCUGGAGGCUUUACGGGGACACCAUGACCUGAUCCAUGUGGACAGCUGCAAGAACAAAGGAUUCUGACACCAAGAACUUUGCAACAACCAACCACACCCUGUCGCCUUUUUGGUACAAAAGGAGCCUGAAUUCUGACUUGGGGAAGAUGGUUCUCCAGGACAUUAGUCUGCCAUCCUCUCGUUCUGCCGGCUUUCUGAAUAAAGUCACUAUUC